UACGUAGGGACCAAGCGUUGUUCGGAUUCAUUGGGCGUAAAGGGUGCGUAGGUGGCGCCGUAAGUCGGGUGUGAAAUUUCGGAGCUUAACUCCGAAACUGCAUUCGAUACUGCGGUGCUUGAGGACUGGAGAGGAGACUGGAAUUCAUGGUGUAGCAGUGAAAUCGCGUAGAGAUCAUGAGGAAGACCAGUGGCGAAGGCGGGUCUCUGGACAGUUCCUGACACUGAGGCACGAAGGCCAGGGGAGCAAACGGG
Molecule: ribosomal RNA, 254 nt
Filed under: uncultured bacterium
Lineage: Bacteria
Description: partial 16S ribosomal RNA
Rfam family: Bacterial small subunit ribosomal RNA
Source: RNAcentral